UACAGAGGGGGCAAGCGUUGUUCUGAAUUACUGGGCGUAAAGGGCGCGUAGGCGGCCUUCUAAGUCGAACGUGAAAUCCCCGGGCUCAACCCGGGAACUGCGUCCGAUACUGGAAGGCUUGAAUCCGGGAGAGGGAUGCGGAAUUCCAGGUGUAGCGGUGAAAUGCGUAGAUAUCUGGAGGAACACCGGUGGCGAAGGCGGCAUCCUGGACCGGCAUUGACGCUGAGGCGCGAAAGCCAGGGGAGCAAACGGG
This 253-nucleotide ribosomal RNA is filed under the name uncultured bacterium. RNAcentral describes it as "partial 16S ribosomal RNA". It matches the Rfam family "Bacterial small subunit ribosomal RNA", at positions 524 to 776 of the family's 1533-position model. The record is from RNAcentral.